AUGGGAGAUGUUGGCGACGACCCCCUCUCAACCCAGUUGCCCAAGGAUAACGGCUGCGAACCACUGAGCUUGUCGGCGGGCGAUUCACAACAGUCAACAGGGAAAGAUGACCCUCAAGCCCCCUGCUGGACUAGAAGGAUCUGUAUUGGGCGAGCCCCUAUUGAGCGCACACCAUGCGCUGGAAGAAUAUGUGCCCUCAAAAAAACCUUAAGAGGAUACGUGGAGAAGAAGACAGAUAUUGUAGUGGUACCAGCUGUUGGAUACAACUUUGAUUCAUUGGGAGAAGCAUACCACUUCUACAAUCUGUAUUUGUGGGAAAUUGGAUUUGGGAUAAGAUAUGGAAAAGGUAGGCUGAACGUCGAGAGAACCAAAUGUUUGCAAGAAAUAGUCUGUGGAUGCUCGGGCAAACCAAAAAGAGGAAACACACGGACAUGCCGAUGCGAGUGCCAUGCAUUGAUACAUUUGCUUCGACCAAUGACAAUGGCUGGUACAUAA
RNAcentral lists this ribosomal RNA (495 nucleotides) under Triticum aestivum (bread wheat). RNAcentral describes it as "partial small subunit ribosomal RNA". Lineage: Eukaryota; Viridiplantae; Streptophyta; Magnoliopsida; Poales; Poaceae. The record is from RNAcentral.